CUGAUUUAAUGACAGUUAAAUUGUUGCAUUAAAGUGAACCUGUCAUGACAAAUAUAGGUUUUUAGUUUUCUAACCAUCUGAAUUGCCUUAUUUUAUACAAUUAAGUGUUUCUUCCCUUAAUACCGUUAAAAGCUUGUAUUUAAAUGUAUUUUCAUUACUCCUGUCUCCUGCUGAAAGAAUCCAUCAAUCAUGUUUCAGUGGGUGUUCCAUUUGCUGUAAAACACAUCUCUCCCG
Pelobates cultripes (western spadefoot toad) is the source of this 234-nucleotide non-coding RNA. The record is from the annotation of a GenBank genome assembly. NCBI's taxonomy places the organism in Eukaryota, Metazoa, Chordata, Amphibia, Anura, Pelobatidae.